Molecule: ribosomal RNA, 422 nt
Filed under: uncultured bacterium
Lineage: Bacteria
Description: bacterial SSU rRNA
Rfam family: Bacterial small subunit ribosomal RNA
Source: RNAcentral
UAAGGAAUAUUGGACAAUGGAGGCAACUCUGAUCCAGCCAUGCCGCGUGAAGGAAUAAGGCCCUAUGGGUUGUAAACUUCUUUUAGACGGGACAAAACCCCUUUACGUGUAAAGGGUUGAUGGUACUGUCAGAAUAAGCAUCGGCUAACUUCGUGCCAGCAGCCGCGGUAAUACGAAGGAUGCAAGCGUUAUCCGGAAUUAUUGGGUUUAAAGGGUGCGUAGGCGGACUAAUAAGUCAGUGGUGAAAGCCUGCAGCUUAACCGCAGAAUUGCCAUUGAUACUGUUAGUCUUGAGUACAGUUGAGGUAGGCGGAAUGUGUCAUGUAGCGGUGAAAUGCUUAGAUAUGACACAGAACACCGAUUGCGAAGGCAGCUUGCUAAGCUGUAACUGACGCUGAGGCACGAAAGCGUGGGGAGCAAACA